GUGUUCAUCUUCCUCAAGGGGAAUCAAGCACAUGAGAGUUUGCAACAGUCAUCAUCUACCUAGGUUCUUCAUCAGGAAGAGCGUGAUCUUGAUAUUGGGGGAUCUAGAGUCUUCCUAAGAAAUAUUUUUACUGAGACCAACUUGAGCUUACUGUGUAUGGUGUUUGGCAACAGCUAUUCUCAUUCGGAUAGUCAUUCUGUUAAUGAAUUAUCUCCUGAUCUAAUGCUUUCUAUGAAAUCAAAAGUAUGCCCUCAUGAAAACAUGCUUUUAGUUCAUCACUGCCAUGAGGCUUUUCUGAUCUCCAUAACUAUUAAUGCACAGUAGUUGAUUGAAAAGAGUUUGGAUUUAUGUUGUAGAGAAAUGCAUGUGGAUCUCCAGGAUGGCUUUCAUGCUGUCUAAAAAUGGCAAAAAUAUCUUGUGUCCGUAUGAAAAGCUCUCCAUCCAAUGUAGUAAAUACCAAUGUGGAAACAUUCAUAGCUGCUAGUAUGUAUAUUUUGCUAAGAAUACAGGGUAAUCAAUUUUCAGUAAGUGAAUAGAACAGAAGGCUAAAAGUUUGCCUUCCAUGGAA
Aquila chrysaetos chrysaetos is the source of this 568-nucleotide long non-coding RNA. RefSeq lists it as uncharacterized. The record is from RefSeq and is a predicted model, not a curated record. Lineage: Eukaryota; Metazoa; Chordata; Aves; Accipitriformes; Accipitridae. The transcript has 3 exons.